Molecule: ribosomal RNA, 519 nt
Filed under: uncultured bacterium
Lineage: Bacteria
Description: bacterial SSU rRNA
Rfam family: Bacterial small subunit ribosomal RNA
Source: RNAcentral
CCUACGGGAGGCAGCAGGGAGGAAUAUUGCGCAAUGGGGGCAACCCUGACGCAGCAACGCCGCGUGUGGGAUGAAGGCCUUCGGGUUGUAAACCACUUUUGGCGGGGGCGAAAUAUCGAGUGCUAAUACCAUUCGGUGAUGACGGUACCCGCAGAAUAAGCACCGGCUAACUACGUGCCAGCAGCCGCGGUAAUACGUAGGGUGCAAGCGUUAAUCGGAAUUACUGGGCGUAAAGCGUGCGCAGGCGGUUGAGUAAGACAGAUGUGAAAUUCCCGGGCUCAACCUGGGAACUGCAUUUGUGACUGCUUGACUAGAGUGCGGCAGAGGGGAGUGGAAUUCCGCGUGUAGCAGUGAAAUGCGUAGAUAUGCGGAGGAACACCGAUGGCGAAGGCAACUCCCUGGGCCUGCACUGACGCUCAUGCACGAAAGCGUGGGGAGCAAACAGGAUUAGAUACCCUGGUAGUCCACGCCCUAAACGAUGUCGACUAGUGUUGGACGGAUACUGUUCAGUAACGUAGC